Molecule: Y RNA, 105 nt
Organism: Callithrix jacchus (white-tufted-ear marmoset)
Lineage: Eukaryota; Metazoa; Chordata; Mammalia; Primates; Cebidae
Rfam family: Y RNA
About the family: Y RNAs are components of the Ro ribonucleoprotein particle (Ro RNP), in association with Ro60 and La proteins. The Y RNAs and Ro60 and La proteins are well conserved, but the function of the Ro RNP is not known. In humans the RNA component can be one of four small RNAs -- hY1, hY3, hY4 and hY5.
Source: Ensembl
GGCUAGUUCGAAGGUAGUUGUGACUUCUGUCAGUUUUUCAUAGUUACAGAUCAAACUCCUUCUGCUCUUUCCCUCCUUCUCACUGCUGCUGUUGACUAGUUUAAA